This 681-nucleotide long non-coding RNA is filed under the name Equus caballus (horse). Its description in RNAcentral is "lncRNA (ENSECAG00000050053.1)". The record is from RNAcentral. Lineage: Eukaryota; Metazoa; Chordata; Mammalia; Perissodactyla; Equidae.
GCUAUAACAAAUAUUUAGAAAAGAGUUAAUUACAACCUUACACAAACUCUUUAAGAGAAAGGGAAAUCGUCUCUUAAUGGUUUUGUGAAGUGUGAUAAACUGAAUUCUAAGAUGUCUUCCCAAAGAUCCCAUGCUCCAAUACCAGAAGAGGUGAGAUGUACUUAAGGUUACUCAUUACUUGACCUUAAAAUGGUGACACUAUUUUUAUUAUUAACAUGGGCCCAUAAAAUCACAAGAGCCCUUAAAGUAGAAGAGGAGGUCAGAGGAUGCAGCAGGAGAGGAGGUCAGAUGACAAAGCAGCAGAGGAGGUCAGAGGAUGCAGCAGGAGAGGAGGUCAGAGGAUGCAGCAGCAAAGGAGGUCAGAGGAUGCAGCAGCAGAGGAGGUCAGAGGAUGCAGCAGCAGAGGAGGUCAGAGGAUGCAGCAGGAGAGGAGGUCAGAGGAUGGUUUGAAGCCCUGGAAGGAUUCAGGGAGCAGCUGCUGGCUUUGAAGAUGGAGGGGCUGUGGGAGAAGCAAGCUGGCAGCCUCCAGACUCUGAGAAUGGCGCCUGGCCCACCCCUACUGCCCAUGAGAAGACAGAGUCUUUAGUCCUACAACUGCCUGAGGAGGAAAUGAAAUGUACAACCACCUGCAUUAGCCUGAGAGUGGAUUCUAUUCCAGAGCCUCCAUAUAUAAGCCCUGGC